UUUAACCUCAACCUCGAGACGACGCCGCUUUGGGGACGACCAAGCUGCCGCUUCCCCCUACGACUUCGGUCCCCUCCUCACCUUCCUCGCCAACUCAUUGUCAUCCGAUAAUGAUUCCGCCUCCUCCUCUUCCUCUUCGUCCUCCUCCUCCUCUUCCUCUUCGUCCUCCUCCUCCUCCACCUCCUCUCCAACCUCACUCGACCCGUCCGAGUUCCAGCUGGCCCAGUCCUACCGCGCUGUCCCUGCUCCACUCUGGCACUCCCUCCUCAAGUCCCUCUGCGCCUCCCACUCCUCCUCCGACAUUGGACUUGCCUACGCCGUCGUUUCGUG
This 330-nucleotide long non-coding RNA is filed under the name Malus domestica (apple). RNAcentral describes it as "long non-coding RNA (MDOM_LNC011020)". The record is from RNAcentral. Lineage: Eukaryota; Viridiplantae; Streptophyta; Magnoliopsida; Rosales; Rosaceae.